Molecule: long non-coding RNA, 605 nt
Filed under: Lingula anatina
Lineage: Eukaryota; Metazoa; Brachiopoda; Lingulata; Lingulida; Lingulidae
Description: uncharacterized LOC106156377
Source: RNAcentral
UAAGUACCGUUUCCGAAGAUACCAGAAGCGUCCUACUCAGAGACACGUUUCGUGUUCGACACAUGCAGCCCCAUACCCAUGUUUUGCAUUGACGAUAUUUUCCCGAUAUGGUGCACUCUAGGCAUAAUGACUAUGUGGACGUCUAACUGACGUGAAUGACUCUAAGUACCGUUUACGAAGAUACCAGAAGCGUCCUACUCAGAGACACGUUUCGUGUUCGACACAUGCAGCCCCAUACCCAUGCCAAGAUUGAUUCCCCUGUCAACGUUUGUCUGCUCGUUAAUUUGCAGUGACAACAAUAAACACUGCCAUUCCCUUUACCAACAUACUGCAAAAUGCGCAAACGACUGAUAGAAGCUGCCCUAGUCUUCCGUAUUUUGGAACAGGACACGGACUGGCACAUGUGAAAGUUACAUGUUGACAAUCGUUCAUGAUUUUCAAAAUGAUGGCUUUAUAUUAAAUGUUCUGCAUACUGAAAUGGCGCACUAAGAUUGAUCGUGUUUCAGUUUCCUUAAAAUCAGGCAUCAAUUAUUAUGUACAGACACAGAUGUGUCUGUACAUAUAGCCGCCACCUGCGUCUGUCGUCGCUGUCGCCGUGCACUUUC